Molecule: ribosomal RNA, 253 nt
Filed under: uncultured bacterium
Lineage: Bacteria
Description: partial 16S ribosomal RNA
Rfam family: Bacterial small subunit ribosomal RNA
Source: RNAcentral
UACGUAGGGGGCUAGCGUUGUCCGGAAUCAUUGGGCGUAAAGCGCGCGUAGGCUCCCAGAUAAGUCCGGUGUGAAAGUCAAAGGCUCAACCUUUGAAUGCCGCUGGAAACUGUCUGGCUAGAGUCCGGAAGGGGCGAGUGGAAUUCCUGGUGUAGCGGUGAAAUGCGCAGAUAUCAGGAGGAACACCAAUGGCGAAGGCGAGUCUCUGGACAUUUCCUGACGCUGAGGCACGAAAGCCAGGGGAGCAAACGGG